GAGAUUUCCCAUAACGUAAGUUAGUAAGACUCCUGGAAGACCACCAGGUUGAUAGGUGAGGGGUGUAAGCAUGGUAACAUGUUCAGCUGACUCAUACUAAUAAGUCGAGGGCUUGAUCUA
This 120-nucleotide non-coding RNA is filed under the name Clostridium sulfidigenes. Its description in RNAcentral is "Bacterial large subunit ribosomal RNA". It matches the Rfam family "Bacterial large subunit ribosomal RNA", at positions 2806 to 2925 of the family's 2925-position model. Lineage: Bacteria; Bacillati; Bacillota; Clostridia; Eubacteriales; Clostridiaceae. The record is from Rfam by way of RNAcentral.